AGGACGAACGCUGGCGGCGUGCUUAACACAUGCAAGUGGAGCGACGAACCAGGGCUUGCCCUGGGGCAGAGCCGCGAACGGGUGAGUAACACGUGGGUUACCUGCCUCGAUGACCGGGACAACCCGAGGAAACUCGGGCUAAUACCGGAUGUGCCCGCAAGGGGAAAGGAAGCUUCGGCCUCCGCAUCGAGAUGGGCCCGCGGCCCAUUAGCUUGUUGGUGAGGUAACGGCUCACCAAGGCUUCGAUGGGUAGCUGGUCUGAGAGGACGAUCAGCCACACUGGGACUGAGACACGGCCCAGACUCCUACGGGAGGCAGCAGUGGGGAAUCUUGCGCAAUGCGCGAAAGCGUGACGCAGCAACGCCGCGUGGGGGAAGAAGGCUUUCGGGUUGUAAACCCCUUUCAGUUGGGACGAAGCUUCUCCGGUGAAUAGCCGGACGGAGUGACGGUACCUUCACAAGAGCACCGGCUAACUACGCGCCAGCAACCGCGGU
RNAcentral lists this ribosomal RNA (494 nucleotides) under uncultured bacterium. Its description in RNAcentral is "SSU rRNA". It matches the Rfam family "Bacterial small subunit ribosomal RNA", at positions 26 to 521 of the family's 1533-position model. The record is from RNAcentral.